UUAAGUUCAGCGGGUAUUCCUACCCGAUCCGAGGUCAACCUAAUCGAAUUUCGAUUGAAAUUCAUGGGUUCUGACGGCGUGGUCCGCUCCCAUCGCCAGCGAAAAGUGUGUCACAACGCUAAGACGGGCGACGCCAGCCGGUGAAAUUGGGGCGCGGGGGAGUCCCGCCGCCCAACACAAGCCAGGCUUGAUUGGAUUUA
RNAcentral lists this unclassified non-coding RNA (200 nucleotides) under Capnodiales sp. RNAcentral describes it as "partial internal transcribed spacer 2". Lineage: Eukaryota; Fungi; Ascomycota; Dothideomycetes; Capnodiales. The record is from RNAcentral.